This 450-nucleotide ribosomal RNA is filed under the name uncultured Glomeromycotina. RNAcentral describes it as "SSU rRNA". It matches the Rfam family "Eukaryotic small subunit ribosomal RNA", at positions 569 to 1024 of the family's 1831-position model. The record is from RNAcentral. Lineage: Eukaryota; Fungi; Glomeromycota.
AGCAGCCGCGGUAAUUCCAGCUCCAAUAGCGUAUAUUAAAGUUGUUGCAGUUAAAAAGCUCGUAGUUGAAUUUCGGGAUCAAUACGUCGGUCGUGCUUCGGUACGUACUGGCGUCAUUGGUUUCUCCCUUCUGACGAACCAUGAUGUCAUUAACUUGGUGUCAUGGGAAAUCAGGACUGUUACUUUGAAAAAAUUAGAGUGUUUAAAGCAGGCUAACGCUUGAAUACAUUAGCAUGGAAUAAUGAAAUAGGACGUUCGAUCCUAUUUUGUUGGUUUCUAGGAUUGACGUAAUGAUUAAUAGGGAUAGUUGGGGGCAUUAGUAUUCAAUUGUCAGAGGUGAAAUUCUUGGAUUUAUUGAAGACUAACUACUGCGAAAGCAUUUGCCAAGGAUGUUUUCAUUAAUCAAGAACGAAAGUUAGGGGAUCGAAGACGAUCAGAUACCGUCGUAGU